This is a non-coding RNA of Ceratotherium simum simum (southern white rhinoceros), 479 nucleotides long. The record is from RefSeq and is a predicted model, not a curated record. Lineage: Eukaryota; Metazoa; Chordata; Mammalia; Perissodactyla; Rhinocerotidae.
GGUCGAGCCAGCUUCACUGGAGGACUGGAAUCUAACCAGAUUUUCCACCUCACUGUCUAUGAGCCAGUGCCCCAUCCCCAGAUCUUGGUCCAGACACAGUCCAUCACAGCAGGCUGGUGCAACAUCACCCUGGAGUGCAGAGCUGGGGAGGUCACAGAGGAGCUGAAUGUGACCUGGGAGAGCAAGGGCCUCCCCAGGGAGCUGGAGCAGAGGGGGACACUGGGACCAGCCCCCAACUUCUGGACCCUGAAUGUGAGCCUGCCUCUGAGCCAGCCCAAUGCCAGCCUCACCUGUGUGGUCAGCAACACUGAGGACCAGAAAACUGUCACCUCAGCCCUUGGAGAGAUCUGUGCCCAUGAUUCACAUGGACAGGCAAUUGCUGGCCCCCUGCGAGCCAUCCUAGGGACCAUCGUGGCCGUGCUGUUGAUCCUCGGGGCUGGACUAUGCCUAUUGAAGGCCAUUGGAAAGAAGACGAUGGA